AACGAACGCUGGCGGCGUGCUUAACACAUGCAAGUCGAACGCGAACGAUUUUCUUCGGAGAAUCUAGUAGAGUGGCGCACGGGUGAGUAACGCGUAAGUAAUCUACCCAGGCAUCUGGAAUAACUCAGCGAAAGCUGUGCUAAUACCGGAUACGUUGGAGACAAGAAAGGUGGCCUCUAUUUAUAAGCUACCGUGCUUGGAGGAGCUUGCGUACCAUUAGCUAGUUGGUAGGGUAACGGCCUACCAAGGCAACGAUGGUUAGCGGGUCUGAGAGGAUGAUCCGCCACACUGGAACUGGAACACGGACCAG
This 310-nucleotide ribosomal RNA is filed under the name uncultured bacterium. RNAcentral's name for it is "bacterial SSU rRNA". It matches the Rfam family "Bacterial small subunit ribosomal RNA", at positions 29 to 334 of the family's 1533-position model. The record is from RNAcentral.